ACCAGCAGUCAUAUCACCCUGCAGCCCAAGACUGGUUGCCCACUGAAGCUAAGCAGGGUUGAGCCUGGACAGUACCUGGAUGGGAGACCUCCUGGGAAAACUAGGUUGCUGCUGGAA
Molecule: ribosomal RNA, 117 nt
Filed under: Sinocyclocheilus anshuiensis
Lineage: Eukaryota; Metazoa; Chordata; Actinopteri; Cypriniformes; Cyprinidae
Source: RNAcentral